RNAcentral lists this ribosomal RNA (377 nucleotides) under uncultured organism. RNAcentral's name for it is "bacterial SSU rRNA". It matches the Rfam family "Bacterial small subunit ribosomal RNA", at positions 526 to 896 of the family's 1533-position model. The record is from RNAcentral.
CGUAGGGACCAAGCGUUGUUCGGAUUUACUGGGGCGUAAAGGGCGCGUAGGCGGCGUGGUAAGUCACUUGUGAAAAUCCUCUGAGCUUAACUCAGAACGGCCAAGUGAUACUGCUGUGCUAGAGUGCAGAAGGGGCAAUCGGAAUUCUUGGUGUAGCGGUGAAAUGCGUAGAUAUCAAGAGGAACACCUGAGGUGAAGACGGGUUGCUGGGCUGACACUGACGCUGAGGCGCGAAAGCCAGGGGAGCAAACGGGAUUAGAUACCCCGGUAGUCCUGGCCCUAAACGAUGAAUACUUGGUGUCUGGAGUUAUUAGUGCUCCGGGUGCCGUCGCUAACGUUUUUAGUAUUCCGCCUGGGGAGUACGCUCGCCAAGAGUG